CACUAAAUUUGGAAGGCUUUAGUCAGCUGAAGUCGUUGAUUGGAAAAAAUCUUGAAACUCGUGGCUGAAGGGAUUGUUCUCACUCUCAAAUCUCGGGAACAGCUCCCGCUCCUACUGCCUACUCCAUCUUGAAAAACUGUGCUCAUGCUGGUGACCACCGGCUUCAUCACGUAAACUCUCUGACCAAAGAGUUUGGCCAAACUCUUUGCCCUGACUGAACUUUUUAAUCCCAUAGCAGAAAGUGGCAAUACACAUGCAAAGAAAGAUAUUGUUUUGUUUUAAUGAACUGUUUCAUUGGCGCCUGACGCCUGCAUGUCUCGGUGACGACCGAUAGCUACCGAAGGAGGAAGGCGGGAGGAUGGAGAGUGGCCGAACGUGACGGCGGAGUGAGGUGUGCCGUUACUGCUUCAGCCAAACAGGACGAGGAGCAAGAGUCACGAGCGGAGGAAAAAAAGAUUAAACUUAUACAGUCAUCUGACAUUUUGUUGUGAAGUUACUUCAGUUAUCAUGAGAGGAAAACUUGACCAAG
This 529-nucleotide long non-coding RNA is filed under the name Struthio camelus australis. RNAcentral describes it as "lncRNA (ENSSCUG00000018291.1)". The record is from RNAcentral. Lineage: Eukaryota; Metazoa; Chordata; Aves; Struthioniformes; Struthionidae.